RNAcentral lists this ribosomal RNA (488 nucleotides) under Picocystis salinarum. Its description in RNAcentral is "partial Bacterial large subunit ribosomal RNA". It matches the Rfam family "Bacterial large subunit ribosomal RNA", at positions 810 to 1303 of the family's 2925-position model. The record is from RNAcentral. Lineage: Eukaryota; Viridiplantae; Chlorophyta; Picocystophyceae; Picocystales; Picocystaceae.
UGUGGUUAGGGGUGAAAUGCCAAUCGAACUCGGAGCUAGCUGGUUCUCCCCGAAAUGUGUUGAGGCGCAGCGGUUGAGGUUUAAAUCUGGGGGUAAAGCACUGUUUCGGUGCGGGCGGAGAAAUCUGUACCAAAUCGAGGCAAACUCUGAAUACCAGAUGUACACUCAGCCAGUGAGACGGUGGGGGAUAAGCUUCAUCGUCAAGAGGGAAACAGCCCAGACCACCAGCUAAGGUCCCCAAAUUGUCACUAAGUGAUAAAGGAGGUGGGAGUGCAAAGACAACCAGGAGGUUUGCCUAGAAGCAGCCAUCCUUGAAAGAGUGCGUAAUAGCUCACUGGUCAAGUGAUUCCGCGCCGACAAUGUAGCGGGGCUCAAGUUAUCCGCCGAAGCUGUGGCAACUUUUUUAAGUUGGGUAGGGGAGCGUCGUGUUCGUGGUGAAGCAGCCUGGUGAUGGGUUGUGGAGUGGAUGCGAGUGAGAAUGCAGGCAU